GUUAAAAAGCUCGUAGUUGGAUUUCUGUGAGAGUAUGAUGUCCUAACGUGUUUAGAGCGCAGAAAACUCUUGCAUCCUUCUGUUACCUCCACGUGGCAUUCGCUUGCCAGUGGUUGGCUCAGAGAAUUUACCUUGAGAAGAUUAGAGUGUUUCAGGCAGGCUUAGUCGGGAUACAUUAGCAUGGAAUAAUAGAAUAGGACUCCGGUCUCGCUUGUUGGUUUGAGGGACUGUAGUAAUGAUUAAUAGGGAUAGUUGGGGGCAUUAGUAUUCGGUUGUCAGAGGUGAAAUUCUCAGAUUUAUUGAAGACUAACUUAUGCCAAAGCAUUUGCCAAGGAUGUUUUCAUUAAUCAAGAACGAAAGUUAGGGGAUCAAAGAC
Molecule: ribosomal RNA, 376 nt
Filed under: uncultured eukaryote
Lineage: Eukaryota
Description: SSU rRNA
Rfam family: Eukaryotic small subunit ribosomal RNA
Source: RNAcentral